CAGAACGGCUAUCCCCAAGAAUACCAAAGCCAGUAAAUGCUGCUGAGGAUGCACGGUUAAAGGGCAAUGUAACUCGUCCAACCACUGUGGAAGUCAGUACAGAAGCAGAAGAAUCUAGACCUGGAGACACAAGCCCAGAGCAAGAAAUUACAAAAACAGCAUGUUAAAGUGAUCAAAUAGAAUAAAAUGAUGUGGUAUGGCCGACUAAGCAGUUCUGCAUAACCAAAACAUGAACAAUUUCAAAGUGAAUUCCCAGGAAACCAAAAUAUUGAGUGGCAUAAAAGAAAGAGGACAAAAAUUCACAGCAGUGGGUAAAAGUGACAGAUGAGCUAGUUUUCGGGAUCACUGCAAGCAGAUACAAGCGUCAUCGAGGACCUGGGACCUGUGAGGGUCCGAUUAAGGGAUGAUUGGAUCUAGAGAUUCUGGGUAUGUACUAUACUGGAAGCAUGUCCACUAAGACAAUUAGUGAUAAAAAUCUCCUUAAAACUGGGACUUCUGGC
This 500-nucleotide long non-coding RNA is filed under the name Heterocephalus glaber (naked mole-rat). Its description in RNAcentral is "lncRNA (ENSHGLG00000042621.1)". The record is from RNAcentral. Lineage: Eukaryota; Metazoa; Chordata; Mammalia; Rodentia; Bathyergidae.